GAACGCGAAGAACCUUACCUGGGUUUGACAUGCACAGGACGCUGGUAGAGAUAUCAGUUCCCUUGUGGCCUGUGUGCAGGUGGUGCAUGGCUGUCGUCAGCUCGUGUCGUGAGAUGUUGGGUUAAGUCCCGCAACGAGCGCAACCCUUGUCCUAUGUUGCCAGCGGGUUAUGCCGGGGACUCGUAGGAGACUGCCGGGGUCAACUCGGAGGAAGGUGGGGAUGACGUCAAGUCAUCAUGCCCCUUAUGUCCAGGGCUUCACACAUGCUACAAUGGCCGGUACAAAGGGCUGCGAUGCCGUGAGGUGGAGCGAAUCCUUGUAAAGCCGGUCUCAGUUCGGAUCGGGGUCUGCAACUCGACCCCGUGAAGUCGGAGUCGCUAGUAAUCGCAGAUCAGCGACGCUGCGGUGAAUACGUGCCCGGGUCUUGUACACACC
Molecule: ribosomal RNA, 435 nt
Filed under: uncultured bacterium
Lineage: Bacteria
Description: bacterial SSU rRNA
Rfam family: Bacterial small subunit ribosomal RNA
Source: RNAcentral